This 795-nucleotide long non-coding RNA is filed under the name Anser cygnoides (Swan goose). RNAcentral's name for it is "lncRNA (ENSACDG00005008074.1)". Lineage: Eukaryota; Metazoa; Chordata; Aves; Anseriformes; Anatidae. The record is from RNAcentral.
CGAAGCGUACGCCAGUCCAAGCCCCGAGCAGCCAGUUUCUUGAGGAGAAUGUUGUGGGGAACUGUGUCAAAAGCCUUACUGAGAUCAAGGUAAACCACAUCCACAGCCUUUCCCUCAUCCACCAAGCGCGUCACUUGGUCAUAGAAGGAGAUCAGGUUCGUCAAGCAGGACCUGCUUUUCAUAAACCCAUGCUGACUGGGCCUGAUCGCCUGCUUGCCCUGCAAGUGCCGCGUGAUGACCCUCAAGAUAAUCUGCUCCAUGAGCUUUCCUGGCACUUUCCUGGCACAGAUGCAACAUAGCGGUUGGAAUAUUUUUUCAGGUUUCAUUUUGUUCAGGCUUUAAGGGCUUUGAGUGCCUGUUUGGUGGUUAUGCUGUAUGAAAUGGGUUACAUAAACUAAGACCAGGGGAUGGUAGGGAAGGAGUUAAUCUUCUCCCUUUUGCUAGAGGAAGGGCCACAGCUGCCUGAACAGAGUGCAGGGAUUUUCAGGGUAGCCAGCCGUGGGAAUUUAAUUGAUUCACCCACCAGUCUGUAAAGAGGGGUACCACAGGGUAGCUCUAAAUCCUGUCGUGAUUCAGGGAGGAGGAGAUUUGAUUCAUAGGAAAAUGCAAGCGAUGUGUGCCACUGAUUUGGGUCAUCUGUACGCAAUUCAAAAGGAAAAGCACACUCUGGCAUGCCCCCUGGUGUGCCCUCUGCAAUGGGAGGCAGAACAGAGAGCUGGUCAGCCCUGGCCCAUGGUGCGCACCCCUCUGCAAGUUGCUCCUGUUGACACUGACAUGAGUUUUCUGUGUAGCUGA